AUACGGGUGCCUGCCCACAACGGCAGGAUAAUCGGGAAAUUGGUGCGCCCCUGGCAACUCCAAUACUGCCCCCGCAACGGUAUUCAAGUUUCUGACAAUCAAUAUGCCACUGUGCCUGCAUGGGAAGGCGAUUGUUUUUUUAGCUUGUAAGUCCGGAGACCGGCCUGUGUCA
Molecule: non-coding RNA, 172 nt
Filed under: uncultured Methylophaga sp.
Lineage: Bacteria; Pseudomonadati; Pseudomonadota; Gammaproteobacteria; Thiotrichales; Piscirickettsiaceae
Source: RNAcentral